Molecule: ribosomal RNA, 525 nt
Filed under: Phyllophaga pruinosa
Lineage: Eukaryota; Metazoa; Arthropoda; Insecta; Coleoptera; Scarabaeidae
Description: partial 16S ribosomal RNA
Rfam family: Bacterial large subunit ribosomal RNA
Source: RNAcentral
GUCUUUUUGAUUAUAAUUUAAAGUCUGGCCUGCCCAAUGAGGAGUUUAAUGGCCGCGGUAUUUUGACCGUGCAAAGGUAGCAUAAUCAUUAGUUUUUUAAUUGAAAGCUGGAAUGAAUGGUCGGACGAGAAAACGACUGUCUCAAUCUAAAUUUUUAUUAGAAUUUUAUUUUUAAGUAAAAAAGCUUAAAUGAAUUUAAAAGACGAGAAGACCCUAUAGAGUUUUAUAUACUGAUUUAUAUUAAAUUAGAGGUAUUUAUGUUUAUAGGUAUGAAUUAGUGUAUUUUGUUGGGGUGACAGAAAAAUUGAAUAAACUUUUUUUAUAAUAAGUCAUUAAUUUAUGAGUAUAUGAUCCGUAGUUUACGAUUAUAAGAUUAAAUUACCUUAGGGAUAACAGCGUAAUUUUUUUUGAGAGUUCUAAUCGAAAAAAGAGUUUGCGACCUCGAUGUUGGAUUAAAAUUAAUUUCUGGUGUAGGUGCUAGAAUAUUAGGUCUGUUCGACCUUUGAAAUUUUACAUGAUCUGAGU